This 468-nucleotide ribosomal RNA is filed under the name uncultured bacterium. RNAcentral describes it as "partial 16S ribosomal RNA". It matches the Rfam family "Bacterial small subunit ribosomal RNA", at positions 28 to 507 of the family's 1533-position model. The record is from RNAcentral.
GACGAACGCUGGCGGCGUGCUUAACACAUGCAAGUCGAACGGAAAGGCCCUGCUUUUGUGGGGUGCUCGAGUGGCGAACGGGUGAGUAACACGUGAGUAACCUGCCCUUGAAUUUGGGAUAACUUCAGGAAACUGGGGCUAAUACCGGAUAGGAGCUCCUGCUGCAUGGUGGGGGUUGGAAAGUUUCGGCGGUUGGGGAUGGACUCGCGGCUUAUCGGCUUGUUGGUGGGGUAGUGGCUUACCAAGGCUUUGACGGGUAGCCUGCCUGGGAGGGUGACCGGGCACCUUGGGACUGAGAUAGGGACCAGAAUCCUACCGGAGGCAGCAGUGGGGAAUAUUGCACAAUGGGCGGAAGCCUGAUGCAGAAACGCCGCGUGCGGGAUGACGGCCUUCGGGUUGUAAACCGAUUUCGCCUGUGACGAAGCGUGAGUGACGGUAAUGGGUAAAGAAGCACCGGCUAACUACGUG